Molecule: long non-coding RNA, 638 nt
Organism: Rhincodon typus (whale shark)
Lineage: Eukaryota; Metazoa; Chordata; Chondrichthyes; Orectolobiformes; Rhincodontidae
Exons: 4
Source: RefSeq, a predicted model, not a curated record
CCGUGCCGCGCGCGGAUCGCGCCGAGUUCUUGUCCGCUCCGCUCGGCUUUUACCUGAAAACGGCAACGGUCGAAGAGCCAGCCUUAGUUUUAUUCUUGUUACUGCUGUCGUUUAUUAAAACUUAUUCAACGAGAGACUGUGAGGAGGACGGACUGUUCCCUUCGUUAAACAUGUAAGAAUAGGGAGGGGAAAAGAAAAGAUAUUGUUUCCGGAGAAUAAAAGGUGAAUUUGUGAACACACUUCCAGAGGAUGGUUGGUCCUGAGCUAAUUGACAUUUAAAAUUCUCACCAAUAUAAGAGUUGGCAGUGCAAGGACUACAAUGACUCGUUGAGAUAAUGUUAGGUGCAAAAGGGUAAGAAAAGAAAUCCUCUUCAAAGGUGAAGCCUAUCAGCCCAAGCAAGUGCCUCUGACAGAAGCAGAGGCUGCAAGCAGCCGGAGUAUCAUAUCAAGGACUCUCAACUGGCAACCAUCACUGACACUUCCCUAGCAUUCUGCACAGUUCUCCUCUGAAUGACUGCCUUGCAGAUGUACUGACAGUGAGACAUAACGAUAGAGUAUCUGUGGCCUGUGACCAGAAUGUAAAUCCAAAGAAAGUGGUGGAGGUCAGUGUUUUGGAAGAUCGUGUCAAAGGACCCUUG